RNAcentral lists this ribosomal RNA (690 nucleotides) under uncultured bacterium. RNAcentral's name for it is "bacterial SSU rRNA". It matches the Rfam family "Bacterial small subunit ribosomal RNA", at positions 141 to 851 of the family's 1533-position model. The record is from RNAcentral.
GGAUAACAUACCGAAAGGUAUGCUAAUACGGGAUAAUAUAUUUGAGAGGCAUCUCUUAAAUAUCAAAGGUGAGCCAGUACAGGAUGGACCCGCGUCUGAUUAGCUAGUUGGUAAGGUAACGGCUUACCAAGGCGACGAUCAGUAGCCGACCUGAGAGGGUGAUCGGCCACACUGGAACUGAGACACGGUCCAAACUCCUACGGGAGGCAGCAGUGGGGAAUAUUGCACAAUGGGCGAAAGCCUGAUGCAGCAACGCCGCGUGAGUGAUGAAGGCCUUCGGGUCGUAAAACUCUGUCCUCAAGGAAGAUAAUGACGGUACUUGAGGAGGAAGCCCCGGCUAACUACGUGCCAGCAGCCGCGGUAAUACGUAGGGGGCUAGCGUUAUCCGGAUUUACUGGGCGUAAAGGGUGCGUAGGCGGUCUUUUAAGUCAGGAGUGAAAGGCUACGGCUCAACCGUAGUAAGCUCUUGAAACUGGGAGACUUGAGUGCAGGAGAGGAGAGUGGAAUUCCUAGUGUAGCGGUGAAAUGCGUAGAUAUUAGGAGGAACACCAGUUGCGAAGGCGGCUCUCUGGACUGUAACUGACGCUGAGGCACGAAAGUGUGGGGAGCAAACAGGAUUAGAUACCCUGGUAGUCCACGCUGUAAACGAUGAGUACUAGGUGUCGGGGGUUACCCCCUUCGGUGCCGCAG